Molecule: ribosomal RNA, 500 nt
Filed under: uncultured bacterium
Lineage: Bacteria
Description: partial 16S ribosomal RNA
Rfam family: Bacterial small subunit ribosomal RNA
Source: RNAcentral
AUUGAACGCUGGCGGCAUGCCUUACACAUGCAAGUCGAACGGCAGCACGGGAGCAAUCCUGGUGGCGAGUGGCGAACGGGUGAGUAAUAUAUCGGAACGUGCCCAGUCGUGGGGGAUAACGCAGCGAAAGCUGUGCUAAUACCGCAUACGAUCUAUGGAUGAAAGCGGGGGAUCGCAAGACCUCGCGCGAUUGGAGCGGCCGAUAUCAGAUUAGCUAGUUGGUGGGGUAAAAGCCCACCAAGGCGACGAUCUGUAGCUGGUCUGAGAGGACGACCAGCCACACUGGAACUGAGACACGGUCCAGACUCCUACGGGAGGCAGCAGUGGGGAAUUUUGGACAAUGGGCGCAAGCCUGAUCCAGCAAUGCCGCGUGCAGGAUGAAGGCCUUCGGGUUGUAAACUGCUUUUGUACGGAACGAAACGGCGAGCUCUAAUACAGUUUGCUAAUGACGGUACCGUAAGAAUAAGCACCGGCUAACUACGUGCCAGCAGCCGCCGUAA